RNAcentral lists this non-coding RNA (130 nucleotides) under Lautropia dentalis. RNAcentral's name for it is "Glycine riboswitch". It matches the Rfam family "Glycine riboswitch aptamer", at positions 10 to 85 of the family's 94-position model. From Rfam's summary of the family: This family represents the bacterial glycine riboswitch. Glycine riboswitches usually consist of two metabolite-binding aptamers domains with similar structures in tandem. The record is from RNAcentral. Lineage: Bacteria; Pseudomonadati; Pseudomonadota; Betaproteobacteria; Burkholderiales; Burkholderiaceae.
AGCAGGAGAGACCUUCCAGCGUGGCGUGUUUCAGGCAUGGAUCGAACAGCUUCCAUGCCCUGCAGACACGCCCCCGGGGUGGCGCCGAAGGGGCAGCAUCCCCGCAAACUCUCAGGCAAAAGGACUGCCG